This 292-nucleotide ribosomal RNA is filed under the name uncultured bacterium. RNAcentral's name for it is "partial 16S ribosomal RNA". The record is from RNAcentral.
GGACUACCAGGGUUUCUAAUCCUGUUCGCUCCCCACGCUCUCGCGCCUCAGCGUCAGUAUGAUGCCAGGUGGCUGCCUUCGCCAUUGACGUUCCUUCCGAUCUCUACGCAUUUCACCGCUACACCGGAAAUUCCACCACCCUCUCAUCUACUCCAGUUCAAUAGUUUGCAUUGCACUUCCCAGGUUAAGCCCGGGGCUUUCACAACACACACACUAAACCGCCUACGCGCCCUUUACGCCCAGUAACUCCGAUUAACGCUCGCACCCUCUGUAUUACCGCGGCUGCUGGCAC